AGAUGCGUCGAAGCGGACUGGAUC
RNAcentral lists this microRNA (24 nucleotides) under Brachypodium distachyon (stiff brome). Its description in RNAcentral is "bdi-miR7739-5p". The record is from miRBase by way of RNAcentral. Lineage: Eukaryota; Viridiplantae; Streptophyta; Magnoliopsida; Poales; Poaceae.